GUCAUGUAUUGUCUAUCUUACCAGGUUGCAUUGGGGGUGUGUAUUAGGUAGUGAUCCUCCAUGAUUCAUACGUCUUUUGUCAAGAUCAUUUUUCAUCUCUAUACUUUACUCUCUACCUCUUGUACUUGCCUCUCUUGAAUUCAUACUGUGCUGAGAAAUUUUGGAAUUCUAAGUCUUCAGUAAACUCAUUUUCUUCCAAACAUCCACUGGCAGUACUAGCUUGGUUAUAUGCCACCAGUAGAUAAAGAAAUUUAAUUUCUUCCCCUGCAUGGGAUAGGUUGAAAUUUUGAGGCUGAGGUAUUGAUGGUUGGUGUACUGAAUCUCUUCCAGAACACACAUUUAUUGUCUUCCUUCGUGUGCACCAAAAUGCCUUGGAAUGAAGGACCUUUUACAUCUAUUUUCAACUCAUUCUGGAUCGGUUUCCUUUUAAGAACCAUCAGCCCCAUUCACCUGGCAAUCGGAGUUCAGAAGAUAUAAUUUACAGCCUCCAGAAGUCUAGGUGAGCGCAAUUGGAUGAUGUCCAGCUUCGCCGGAAUCAGAGAGGCUAAUUCAUCUCAGGUGCAUUUCAAGGAGGCUCUGCACCCCGUCUCUGUGAGACAAGCUGAAAUCAUAGAGUCAAGAUCAACUCCUCGUGGGCUCAAGAUCCUACAAGACCUUUCUUCCACUCCCCUUUCCGCCCCCCUUCCCUUGUAUGUUGUAAGUGCCACUUAUAAACAAGAUACCAAGACUUGGGACAUUGAAAAUGCCACUUCAGAAAAUGUGUCAGCCAGCUGUCCCUCUUUCCUUUUAAUGAGAUGCAUCCGGGACUGCAGAAAACCAAAGGCCGCCACGGAGGCAGCAUUGUCGCCGGGCAACCAAGCAUCCUUCCAGCUUCCCCAGAACUAAUCUCACAAUAUCCUGCAACCCUGGUCCUCUCACAACCUCAGGGGGAAGUCCUUGAAUCCACCCCCAUCCUCGUUCCAGGCUCGCAAGUGAAUGUGCCGGGAGCUGGUGUUACAAAACCAGUUGUUAUUUUGAAAUUGACUGGGGGUUGGUACAACUUCAGGGCAUUCUAAUCAGAAUGCAGGCAAGACUGGAGGAUACACACUUUUCCCCCCAACAUGUACACUAAGCGGGGCUGAAUGGUACACCUGUCAAAAUCAUGACUCUGUCACCUGAAUCUCAGAACUCCUGUCCUAUCUCUCUUUUUUCAGACCCCCUCACAUACCCAGUUCAUCAGUCCCUAAGUCUCUUGAGCCCUCCCUUGCAGUGCAGUGUUCAUGUCCUGGCCCCUCAUUUCUGGUAUCAUCCUAUUCCAGCCCUCACUCCCUGGUGCUCGGACCAUUGCAGUACCCACUAGCUGCGUGCUUGGCUUCCGGUUGUUUCUGCUUUGUUAGUUUCACCCUGUACACGGGUUAAUCUUCCUGGUGACUACCUUCUCUUCUCAGAAGCCCUCAGUGGCUUCCUAUCACCUACCAGCAUGGAGGCCAAAUUCCUUAGCUUAUCAUUCCCACCCUUCAGACACCUGGUCCUUACCUCUCUCUCCAACUAACUCUAACUCUUGCAGUCCUCCAGCAGAAACCCUGCACCCUAAUCCAUCUACGUGACUCCUUACUUCUUCUAUGAUGGUUUUCUAGCUCCGUGCCUAAAAAAUGAAUGUCACGCCCCACACCAUCCUUGAGAUUGUUUCAAGUCCUAAUUCCACUACUUAUUACCUGUGUGACCUCAGUUGAAUUAUCUAACUUCUUUCUGCCUCAACUUCUUAUCUGUGAAAUAGGGAUAAUAAUAGUAUCUACCACAGGGGCGCCUGGGUGGUUAAGUCAGUUAAGCAUCUGCCUUCCGCUCAGGUCGUGAUCACAGGGUCCUAGGAUUGAGUGAUACGUCUGGCUCCCUACUUCUCCCUCUACCGCUCCCCCUACACAUCCUCUGUAUGUGUGUGUGUGUGUGUGUGUGUGUGUGCGUGUCUCAAAUAAAUAAAUAAAAUGUUUUAAAAAU
Molecule: long non-coding RNA, 1974 nt
Filed under: Canis lupus familiaris (dog)
Lineage: Eukaryota; Metazoa; Chordata; Mammalia; Carnivora; Canidae
Description: lncRNA (ENSCAFG00845008709.1)
Source: RNAcentral